This 253-nucleotide ribosomal RNA is filed under the name uncultured bacterium. Its description in RNAcentral is "partial 16S ribosomal RNA". It matches the Rfam family "Bacterial small subunit ribosomal RNA", at positions 524 to 776 of the family's 1533-position model. The record is from RNAcentral.
UACGGAGGGGGCUAGCGUUGUUCGGAAUUACUGGGCGUAAAGCGCACGUAGGCGGCUUUGUAAGUUAGAGGUGAAAGCCCGGAGCUCAACUCCGGAAUUGCCUUUAAGACUGCAUCGCUAGAAUUGUGGAGAGGUGAGUGGAAUUCCGAGUGUAGAGGUGAAAUUCGUAGAUAUUGGGAAGAACACCGGUGGCGAAGGCGGCUAUCUGGCCCGUAAUUGACGCUGAGGCGCGAAAGCGUGGGGAGCAAACAGG